This 1052-nucleotide ribosomal RNA is filed under the name Photobacterium sp. enrichment culture clone GAS_C2. RNAcentral's name for it is "bacterial SSU rRNA". It matches the Rfam family "Bacterial small subunit ribosomal RNA", at positions 23 to 1068 of the family's 1533-position model. The record is from RNAcentral. Lineage: Bacteria; Pseudomonadati; Pseudomonadota; Gammaproteobacteria; Vibrionales; Vibrionaceae.
UUUUGGGGGCGUUGCGGCAGCCUUACACAUGCAAGUCGAGCGGUAACAGGAAGUAGCUUGCUACUUCGCUGACGAGCGGCGGACGGGUGAGUAAUGCCUGGGAAUAUGCCUUGAUGUGGGGGAUAACUAUUGGAAACGAUAGCUAAUACCGCAUAAUGCCUACGGGCCAAAGAGGGGGAUCUUCGGACCUCUCGCGUCAAGAUUAGCCCAGGUGGGAUUAGCUAGUUGGUGGGGUAAAGGCUCACCAAGGCGACGAUCCCUAGCUGGUCUGAGAGGAUGAUCAGCCACACUGGAACUGAGACACGGUCCAGACUCCUACGGGAGGCAGCAGUGGGGAAUAUUGCACAAUGGGGGAAACCCUGAUGCAGCCAUGCCGCGUGUAUGAAGAAGGCCUUCGGGUUGUAAAGUACUUUCAGCAGUGAGGAAGGUGGUGAUGUUAAUAGCACCAUCAUUUGACGUUAGCUGCAGAAGAAGCACCGGCUAACUCCGUGCCAGCAGCCGCGGUAAUACGGAGGGUGCGAGCGUUAAUCGGAAUUACUGGGCGUAAAGCGCAUGCAGGCGGUCUGUUAAGCAAGAUGUGAAAGCCCGGGGCUCAACCUCGGAACAGCAUUUUGAACUGGCAGACUAGAGUCUUGUAGAGGGGGGUAGAAUUUCAGGUGUAGCGGUGAAAUGCGUAGAGAUCUGAAGGAAUACCGGUGGCGAAGGCGGCCCCCUGGACAAAGACUGACGCUCAGAUGCGAAAGCGUGGGGAGCAAACAGGAUUAGAUACCCUGGUAGUCCACGCCGUAAACGAUGUCUACUUGGAGGUUGGUGUCUUGAACACUGGCUUUCGGAGCUAACGCGUUAAGUAGACCGCCUGGGGAGUACGGUCGCAAGAUUAAAACUCAAAUGAAUUGACGGGGGCCCGCACAAGCGGUGGAGCAUGUGGUUUAAUUCGAUGCAACGCGAAGAACCUUACCUACUCUUGACAUCCAGAGAAUUCGCUAGAGAUAGCUUAGUGCCUUCGGGAACUCUGAGACAGGUGCUGCAUGGCUGUCGUCAGCUCGUGUUGU